This 254-nucleotide ribosomal RNA is filed under the name uncultured bacterium. Its description in RNAcentral is "partial 16S ribosomal RNA". It matches the Rfam family "Bacterial small subunit ribosomal RNA", at positions 524 to 776 of the family's 1533-position model. The record is from RNAcentral.
UACGUAGGGGGCUAGCGUUGUCCGGAAUCAUUGGGCGUAAAGAGCGCGUAGGCGGCCCGGUAAGUCCGUUGUAAAAGUCAAAGGCUCAACCUUUGAAUGCCGAUGGAUACUGCCGGGCUAGAGUCCGGAAGAGGCGAGUGGAAUUCCUGGUGUAGCGGUGGAAUGCGCAGAGUAUCAGGAGGAACACCGAUAGCGAAGGCAGCUCGCUGGGACGGUACUGACGCUGAGGAGCGAAAGCAUGGGGAGCGAACAGG